Molecule: ribosomal RNA, 252 nt
Filed under: uncultured bacterium
Lineage: Bacteria
Description: partial 16S ribosomal RNA
Rfam family: Bacterial small subunit ribosomal RNA
Source: RNAcentral
UACGUAGGUGGCAAGCGUUAUCCGGAAUUAUUGGGCGUAAAGAGGGAGCAGGCGGCAGCAAAGGUCUGUGGUGAAAGACUGAAGCUUAACUUCAGUAAGCCAUAGAAACCGGGCAGCUAGAGUGCAGGAGAGGAUCGUGGAAUUCCAUGUGUAGCGGUGAAAUGCGUAGGUAUAUGGAGGAACACCAGUGGCGAAGGCGACGAUCUGGCCUGCAACUGACGCUCAGUCCCGAAAGCGUGGGGAGCAAAUAGG